GAUGAGCCCGCGUUGGAUUAGCUAGUUGGUGGGGUAAAGGCCUACCAAGGCGACGAUCCAUAGCUGGUCUGAGAGGAUGAUCAGCCACAUUGGGACUGAGACACGGCCCAAACUCCUACGGGAGGCAGCAGUGGGGAAUAUUGGACAAUGGGCGCAAGCCUGAUCCAGCCAUGCCGCGUGAGUGAUGAAGGUCUUAGGAUUGUAAAGCUCUUUCACCGGGGACGAUAAUGACGGUACCCGGAGAAGAAGCCCCGGCUAACUUCGUGCCAGCAGCCGCGGUAAUACGAAGGGGGCUAGCGUUGUUCGGAAUUACUGGGCGUAAAGCGCACGUAGGCGGAUAUUUAAGUCAGGGGUGAAAUCCCGGGGCUCAACCCCGGAACUGCCUUUGAUACUGGGUAUCUUGAGUGUGGUAGAGGUGAGUGGAAUUGCGAGUGUAGAGGUGAAAUUCGUAGAUAUUCGCAGGAACACCAGUGGCGAAGGCGGCUCACUGGACCACAACUGACGCUGAGGUGCGAAAGCGUGGGGAGCAAACAGGAUUAGAUACUCUGGUAGUCCACGCC
RNAcentral lists this ribosomal RNA (560 nucleotides) under uncultured bacterium. Its description in RNAcentral is "bacterial SSU rRNA". It matches the Rfam family "Bacterial small subunit ribosomal RNA", at positions 224 to 801 of the family's 1533-position model. The record is from RNAcentral.